Molecule: non-coding RNA, 20206 nt
Organism: Taeniopygia guttata (zebra finch)
Lineage: Eukaryota; Metazoa; Chordata; Aves; Passeriformes; Estrildidae
Source: RefSeq, a predicted model, not a curated record
GGUUCAGAAGUAGAAAAGAGUUGUGCCCUGAUAGACCAUUGCAUAGUAGAGUGCCUUUGGAGCAUUUUCAAAGCAGGUGACCUAUUCCAAAUUUCUCAAUCUCUCUAAAAUGUAGAGCUUAUUACAUGUGGUAACCAAACCAGUGAUAUUAUUUCUUCUUGGGUGUAUAUGUUCAACAUUAGAUGCACUAUUUCUUACCAAAUUCAUUGUACUUAUUUCAUUUGGUCUGUAUAUGCAUAGCUGUGUGUACAUUGCUAUGCAAGUGUUAAUGUAAUACCUAUGUAUGUAUGCUAUGUAAGUAUUAAUGAGAUACCUUCUCCUUCUCUCUCUUUGGGAAGUCAUAACUUCAGGUGAUCUGAUCUUAAGAUAUGGAGAUAUGAGUAAAAAAUAAGUAUAAAUAAAGAAUACAGGCAACUAAGGGACAGUCAGAAGCUUACUCUAAAUCAUAUUGGAGGAUCUUGAAAUCCAAACUGUGACAAAGUCUUUGUGAUUCAGGUAGAAUUGUUACUAGGUACAACUGGAGGUACUACUAAAGCACAGAUCUUUGUCAAUAUUGUGAAAUUACAAAGUUACAUCAUUAAACAAAAGAAGGUGUUGUCAUAAAAGGACGUGUAAAAAUUCUACAUAUAUUAUAGCUUCACUACGUUUUGUUUUUUUUUUCCAAUUCAAGUAGCCAGUGCUGGAUACUGUGAAAAUUAGGUUAUCUUUCCUAAAAUUCAGAUUACACUAAUAGUGCAGUGAUGAUGUUAUUUAUUUAGGUAUCUAACAGUACAUCUGAAUAAUUUAUAUUGUGUUUGUUUAUGAAUUUAGAUCACACCUUUGAAUUUUUAAGAUUUGGGUGGAGGGAAAAUUUUACUCUCUAAAUUCAAGCAAAACAAAUCUUUGGAUGAACAGAGGAAUUUUGUUUCAAGCUUUGAAUAACUUCUGUCUUAGCAUCAUUACUAUAUGCUGGGUGUUUGAAUAAAUACCCCCAAAAUCACACUUUUAUUCAGAAACAGCCAAUCUAAAUAGAAAAUCAUGUUGCCUCUGGGUUGAUUUUUGCCAGAAAUACAUUUAGUUUUUGUACAUAAAUGGCACUUUUCAUUUGCAGCUACAGUCUGUUUUUGUCUAUGCACUAAAAUUUAUGUUUUUAGAUGUGAAUUUAAACAAAAUUUAUGAAAGUAUAUAGUUUUAAAAGAGGAGAUUUAAUUGAAUGAUUUCUGAUUUGAAUGCUGAAGGAUUAGAAAAACCUUAUUUGCAACACAAUUGGAUUCUGAUUUUAUGUCUUCAUUUUGGCCCAAUAAAAACUAUUUUUUGAAUUUUAUGACAUUCGAUAAGUUGAUCUAUGCAUUUAAUAUUUGUUUUAAGAAAGAACCAGAAGAAGGUGAGUUUUAUUUUGUUAUUUCAAAAGGUAUUUCAAUUCUUUCCUCGGCUGUAAUAUUCAGUUGUAAUUUUCAUAACACAGUAGCCAGAAAUGAAAGUGGGCAGAAAUAGCAACUAAAUAAAAUAACUGUUGGGGACAUCUUUCAGUUUUGACACUGUAUUCAGGAGACAUUUAUAAAGAUCAUUGUAUAGCUGUAGCUAAAUUACACUAUCUUCAGCUAAUUUUUCUUGAUUAAAAAGCUAUUAAUGAUCUGUGAAAAGAGAGCAGGGGCAAACUUUGCCUCUUGAAUAAAAGCUCAUAAUGAUGAAAUGCUACAUGAUAGCCCUGAAUUCUGCAUGUGAUCCUUUUCCAAGGUCAAUGACCUAUUUAUCCUUCUUUUGGCUCAGAGAUGCCAAUAUGCAGCUUUAUUCCAAUUAGAAAUUAUGUAUUAAAAAGGGACAAGAAUAAGAUGUAUUCUGUAGCAGGAUUAUGCUUAUCUCCAAUAAGAUAUAAGGUGAUUCUUCUGCUGAUGAUUUUGAAAAACAAUGUGAAUCUUCAAAUCAAAUCUGAUAAUGAACUCACUCUAACUGGAUCUAGCAAUUGCCUAGAGCAAUAAUUACUAGAUAAAGAGGAAGGGCAUGAAAUGGUCAUUGAAAGCAAAAGGGAGAGCCAAAAUGAUUGAAGUACGUAGCUUUUAUUAAAUUAAAACAAAAUAGAUACUGUUGUAUCUUGCAUUUGAAUAUUAAAAUUUGGCAUCCGGAAUAUUUUAAUGUAACAUUAUCAAGUCAAGUCUAACAAUAAUUCCAAAACCUUCAACAAGGUAUGGUUAAGGACAGGCCAUAAAUGCCCACUAUAACAAAGGAAGCCCUUGCUCAAUGAUUAAACAAAACUCACUACUGAGUUUAUACUCAUCCUAAGUGUCUAUUGAAAUUGUACUCAUGAAACAACUGCAGUGAAGAACGUGAACUUUUAUAUCACUUUGAUGAACUAAGUUCAGAUUCUCAUUUCUUUUUCAUCACCUUGGCAUUACAGAUUCUUAGCAAUGUUUGCCAUAUUUUUUCUGCCUCCUCCUUGGUCAGCAUUUUUUGUGGUUAUCCAAUACUGGUAUAGGAACACUAUAUUGAAAUUUUAAAGUGGAAUCUUUUCCCAGUAUUUUGACUGUAUGAUCUGCUACUGAAUUUUCUUGAGACCUAAUUUUUUUUUCCUACCCUGUGUAAUAAUCUUUAUACAGGUUAAUGGCAGAUUUUUUCCACUCACAGUUUUGCAUUUCAUAAUCCCAUAUUGUUAACAAAACACAUAGGAAUUUCCUAUCUCAUAGUCUAAAUUUCAGUCAUAUAAAGACAACUGGGCUGGCCAAAUUAUUUUAUUAGGCAUCUCUUUCAUUACAGUACAAAGACCAUGUUGGAGAAUGCUAUCGCACAGACCUUAAAAUCUAUUUAAUAUGUAUGCUGAUCAUGCUACAAUUUUUCUUUGCCACUGAAGCAUUGAAAACAUCUGAUACAUAGAGAUGAGAUUUAUGGAAAGUUAUAUAUGCCUGGAAAGACUUGCAUUCUCCUAUUGUUUGUUGUCUCUAAGGGCAAAAUCUAUAUAAAAGUGUUAAAGCUAGGAUUCUAUGAAUCAUAAUAAAUAGAGAAAGCAGACUGUCUCUUUACAUUUUGUCUUCCUUUUUGAAGUUAGAAAUAUCCUUGUUUUCUUCAGUUCCCUUAGCUUUUUCACAGACCUCCAUAUAAAAAGAUAUAGAUAAGUUCUCUAAGAUUACAGCUUCUUGUUUUUAACAUUUCAGCAGCAACACUGUUGACACCUGGUGCUUGUUAUUCCUAAGGGUCCUGAUUGCCUCUUGAAUCUCUUUAAAAUUUGGCUCAGCUGCCUGGAAGGUGGCCAUUUGUUGUUGGCCUUCUAAUUUUCUUUACCGGACUUGUCUAAGCACCCCUACCAUAUUUCUCUAUUUCCAUUCCUUGUAAUAAGAUUGUUUUCAUUUUUAUAUUUUAUCAGACUUUCUUAUUAUUGAUAUUCUUUUCUUCAUGCAUUGAUACCCCUGUAAAAUUUUUGACAGUCUCAGGUUCCUUAAACUCAGUCAUAGGAAAAAAAAUUCUCUACAAACUAUAAUCUUCUGAAAAGGUCCACUCUUGCCUAAGGAACAAAUGUACAACUCGCCAAUACUCAUCAUCACACCAUAGUAUCCCCUCCAAAGAACCACUGAAAGCUCUAAAUUUGGUAUUUGAAUUUCCCAGAAUAUAAUGUAUUUUACCUAACACACCAAAGGCCCUUAGGAAAGCUGGGGAUAGGAACUGGUAUAAUUAAACAAAUUCACACUUGAAUGAACCCCUGCAGAAAAACAACAAUGGCUAUAAAAAUACAUUUUCCAGUGGAGGAAUGCUUUUCACAAAAUAUUCCUUCCCUCUCUGAACUUUCAGGACUAAUGCAGUAAAGGUAUGAAAUAGUUUUAAAAGAAAAGCUUGGAAAGCAAGAUUUCUUAUGCCACUUGAUACUAAAGGGCUAGGCCUUGUAGCUACAGACUUCAGGGAAUGGUAAUGGUCAGUCUUUUUACACCAACUUCCUUGUUUUUCCUAUAUGUUCUCAUGCCUCUGCUAAUAACCUCUGCCUCUCAACUUUUCACCUAAAGUCUUAUUAAAAUUCUCAUAUUUCUCACUAUCAAAUAACUCUUCUUUCUCAGAUUUUGGAACUGUUUUUUCAAUACAGAUAAUUGUUUUCAGUCUGUCUUUGAAUUUUGUUACUCAUUUUGAUCUGAGGGAGGGUUUACAUAAACUACAGUUUUGUAUUUUGUUUUUGCCUUCUAGAAGUCAUUUGCCUCAAUGUUUUCCUUGUAGCAGAGUUAGGUUUCAAGGCAAUUAGGCUGAUCAGGGCUGUGUUUAGUCAGUGUUAUAAAUAAAUGUGUUACAGUCUCUCAAGCAACUGUUACCAUGUUUGAUCACACUCAUGUUCUCACCAUAUUCAACAGAAUUUCUUUUUAUUUCUUGUUUUCGUACAAAAUUUCCUAGGAAAAUUUUCAAUUUGUCUCCAUCUUCUCUAUAGCUCCUUUAUAGUAGUUGAUAUCUGACAAUAAAGUCCUUCCUUACACUUUUCUCUAGAGUGAACCCAGUUUCUUUAGUCACAUGCAUCAUCAGGUCCUUAGACAUUUUCAUGGUGCUCCAGGGGAUUGACCCCAGCUGGAUUGCCCCCCUGUACCAAGGAUCCAUGAGUAGUGAACACAGUAGUCUGUGCAGUUAAAUAUGUCCUGAAGUCAUGGAGGAUACUCAUGUCUUUGUAAAAUUAUUCUGAUUUAUUCUUUCCUUGUAGUUUUGUAUUUUUUUUGUAGAUUUGCAGUUUCUUCUUCAGCCUUUUUCACAUUUUGUAGUUUCUGAUUAUAUUGAUUACACUGGCAUGCCAGCCAUGUUGCAUUUAGGUCAAAGUUGUUCAUUUACAUUUGGAUGUGUUUCUGCUUUUGUGCUCUGAUUUGUUUUCCAAAUGUCCUAUUUGCUAUCAACACAUCUGCAAUUUAAUAUAGCAGACUCCAGAAUUUUUUUCUGAAUCAAUACUUCCCAUUUGUGUGCAUAAUUAGAAUUCUCUAAAGAAAAUGUCUUUUCUAUGUGCAUAUAUAUUCUGUGUUUUCUCUACUAUGUAAAUUUUCCUCUUAUGACUCUCUUACGAGACAGUCAUAUGAGUUACUGUUACCUCCCUCCAGAUUUUUGAUGCCAAGAGGCAGAGAUUUCUGUCUUAGUUAAGUGCAUGAUCAGUCUAGCUAGUAGUAACUCCAUCUGCGCUCUUCACCAAUGUUAGUGAGUACUUAUAGCAGACAAUGCAGUCCUCUGUAAAGGCACUUUAUAAAAUCUGUUUAAAGUAAUCUAGUUUCAAUAUCAAGAAACACUUAUAUUAUUUCAAUUUUUUUUACCUUCUUCAUUUCCUGUACUAAAACAGUAGAAACUGCAAGCUGUCUGACAGCUGUUGAAGAUAUUCAGUGCAUUCAUCAUCUAAUAAUCUUUAUUUUUCUUCAGUGAAAGUAGAUAUAUUGCUGAAGUCAAUACUGAGCUAUUUCCUUUUAAUCUUAAUUGAAUAUUUGUCCACUAAUGGCUUCAAAGGUAUUUCUGUUGAUAAUAUAUUUUAAUGGUUCCCAUUUCACGUCUUAUAGUCUUUCUUUCAUUGUGAAUGUAGAUCCUUCUCUAUUUCUAUGUAUCUUCUUUCUGAUAAAUCUGUGAUGUGUGCAUAAUUCUGCUUUGCUUGUGCUGUAAGGGUUUGGGGAACCUUUGGCCUGUGUAAGAUCAGAUGUUCCACAUUUCUAAUUCCUAUUUUUUUCUGAAGCUGAUGGCUUUUAUUCAUAUUGUUAUUCAUGGGUUUUUUUUAAGUUUUGGGGAUGACUCCUUAAAAUUGUUCUUUGAUGUAGAUCAGAGAAGCCAUUAUUAAAUUUCUGUUUCCCAUAUACAUUCUUUUAAGCUGUAGACUAAAUAAUUCCUAAUCUGUAAAAGUAUUGGACUCUUGGAGUAUUUAGCUAUGAGGAGAUCUUCUGGUCUGCUAUGCAUGUUGAAGGUUCUUCUGUCAACCAAGAACAAGUUAUCAACACUUCUCUUGAAAUGUAGACAGCAGAUUGGGACAGUAUGUUCUUGCAGUCCUUAGGCCGUUGUCAAAUAUACAAAAUAACAUUACUACAUUUUUCUAUGAAAUUUUCCUUUUACAAAAAAAUCUCUAAAGAUGCCAAGGUGAUGGGAAUUUUCAGCUGACCCAGCCUCCUCUUUAUACAGUGGUUUCAGGUCUUGUAGAUCAUGGGGUGGUGUAAGAUUCCGAUAAUUCCUUGUUCAUAAAAUUUAUGGUUUUUGGGAGGGUUUAAAAAAUCCUUUCUGAUGUUUUUGCCCGCUUACUAAACUGUCCUGUUGGAUUUGUAUUGUCUAAUUAUCUGUAGGUUUGCUAUCUAUUACUUUGACAUCUGAGUGAUCCAAAGCCUUUACUGGUAAUGUUACCUUGCAGAUCACUAAAAGAUGUUGGUAAGAUACAUGGGGCCACAAAACCUGCAAAUUCCAUGUAUCAGUUUCAGCAUAAAUAGAUUUCUUUGGGAAAUUUCUCUAUGUGGUUACAUUUUUUUCUUAUCCUCUUCAUCCUUUAUUUCUAUUACAGCAAAACUCAGAAUAAAACCAUCAAAGGUAAUGAGCAUUUAUUUUAAGUUAGGGUACAUCAGGCAGUUUGACAUUUUAUACCCAUUUUAGUUUUCGUGAACUAAAUGAGAACUAUGUGCUGGAACAGGUCAUGUCUCUUUCUGUCACAGUCCACCUUGUUUUGUGGUUGUGCACCCUUGGAUGCAUAAUGGAGAUAUGGGUACUUGUGCAUAAAGAAACAUAGCUUAAAUGAACUGUAAAGCUCUGUGCUUUAUUGGGCAGCACUUUUUGAACUUUUUUCCCCCUGGUUGAAUUAUUCAGAAGAUCUCUGUAAAUGGUGCAUAACUUCAAAUUGGAUCCAUAGACUGUAGAUCAGGUAAUUGAUUCUCCUUAAUUUCAUUUGUUACAUGUUCACAUUAUUUCUUUUUCCUUUUUGAUUAAUUUUUUUUUAUUCAUAGCAGUACACAAAUAAUCUAAACCAAGUUCUGGUGUCUUAAUCUCUUGUUAAUUAACAUUUCCUCACUCACUUAAAUUGCCCAUCAUGCUAUCUUGCAAGGUCAUUUCUUGCUAAAUCAGAGCAUGAUUUCAGGUAAAGAUGCCUUUUUGAAUUUGGAUUCAGAUUGAAGUUGAUAUUAGUAUGAGAUAUGUUGGAAGUGAUAUUAGAAAAAUGAUCAAUACCCACUGAAGAAAACCAGAAACAGGUAGAGAAAUUCUAGGAGAUUAUGUACUUAAGUGUUUUGGGUUGGUUUUUUGGGUUUUUUUUUUUUGUUUUGUUUUGUUUUGUUUUUAGAUUUCUUUUCCCCAAGAGAACUUGAGUUUCUUCUUAAAGCAGUUCAGCAUUUUAAGAUGAAACUCUUUGCUUUGGCUAGCUUUCUCAUGGGCUAAGACAAGAAGUCUGCUAGCCAUGUUAAUGUAGAAUAAAAAGUCCUUAUACUGUGAGUUCUCAAAGCUGAGCUUCUACUGUGCUUAUAAUAAGCAAACCUCUUUGUAUUUGUUGCAUGGAGAGAAAGUUCAUUCUUUGUAACAUGUCCAUCAGAGUUGCAUAGCUGCUACUAAGGCACUAGCACGUGCUAGCCAUAGAAAAUAGUUUCCUGUUCAGCUGCACUUUUUUAUUGUUAUUUUUCCAACAGGUUUCUGAUGUGAAAGUUGUAAAGAGUUGAAUUUCUCUUGAGAUAAGAAAUUACAAUUAAAUGGAGACUGGUUGAUCAACCAUGACACAGUGUUGUCAACAUGAAAUCAAAGUGGGGACAGUACAUUUGCAUUUGAUGCCUUUGUAGAGCGAGAUUAUGCUAACAGCAUGGAGCUGUCUUACUCCCCUAGGAGCACAAAGAAACUCCACAGCUGCAAUUCUGAAAUGCUUCCUGAAGAGGUGAAGAUUACACCUGUUUUGUGUUGUCUCCAAACUGUUUCUGUGCUGGAAUAGCCUCUGGCUCUGCCCAGCACAUGCAGUUCCAUCUUACCUCCCAUGGAUGUGCUAUGAGAUUAAUGAACUCUAUGACUGAUUAAAUUUUCAUAAUUAAAUCAUUUUCCCAUAACUCAGAUUGAAUAAAAGGAUUUGAUGCAGAGUUGUGUCAUUCAUGAGCAUAACUGAUAUAAUUUUGUAUCUUGCAUUCUUGGUGUUUUUUGUUAACAAAAUGGAAACACAGGAAAAAUUUAGUAUCUUUAGCUUUCCCAAAGUCCUAAAUCAUUUGAUCAAUACAAACCCCAUGACUUUCUGUGUUCUUGUCUGUAUAGAACAUACAGAUGUCAAAAUUGACUGCUUACAUCUCAAAAUCAGAAAUUACUGUAUGAUUUAUUGAUGUCUGUGGGAAAUUUGGUAGGUGUAUAAAUUUAUAUAUUUUUCUUGCAUGUGUAUCUCUUGUUGGAUAGAUGCUAAAGUUCUCCAGCUGAUUGACAGAUAUCUGCUGAGCACAUUAUUGAAUUAUAUCUGUCUAAAUCAAUUUCUACACCUCUGUGUAGUAUUUGCAUUGAUAAUGUGUCAGACCAGGGAAAUACCUAUCCUUCUUGUAAAUAGGGGUCAUUCCUAUGAGGGUUAUAUUAAUCUGGUAAAAAUAACAAAAAGAGACAAGAUGCAAAGGGAAAAAAUUCAGUGACUGAGGAUGUAUUAUACAUAUAGAGGACUUAAAAGCCAAAGUGAAAACAUCAGCCCUCACUGUAACUCUGAGAUCUGUGCAGAGGAGGUUCAGUUCUUAGAAAGAACUUUUAGUGCAGGUGCAGAGCUGCUUUGGGUGCAUGUAUUAUUAGGGAAGAUUACAAAUAGCUUUAAGAUCUGAGAAUAUAAAUAAUGCUGAACAGAGACACAGUGAAAUAUGUGAUGAGAAAAACAUUCACUUUUCAUUCUGUUCUCCCUUAUCUGUGGAAAAAUAAUUCUUUCUCAUCCUGAAGGAAAAUCCUUCCCAUGAGAAGUGUCAGAGCAGGAGUCUAUGCCUUCACAAGCAGCAGGACUUGGGCUAUACCCAGCAAACAAUGGCAAUCAGGGAAGGAAGAAAGGAAAUUGCUAAUCCCCAGGAAAGACCUCAUCCUUCCCUUGAAGUGAUUCCUACUUGUACUGUUCUAAGGGGCAAGAUGGAGAAAAAACAGGGCUGAACUCCUCUAUCCUCUAUGAUAAAAGUGUGCUGAAACACUAGCUUUUCCCUCUUACUCAUAGUUUCCCUUUUUAAAUACAUUUUUUUGAAGAGGGGAAUGAAUUAGUCCUUCAGUUGGGUGUUCCCCUCUGAAAAGAGAGUAAGGACUUUGAGAUUAUAUUAGAGGUGCUUUUUAUAAUUACUUGCCAGAAAUUAACACAAAAGAGAAGUGUGAACAUGUUUGCAGGAGCUAGCAAACUAUAAUGAGGAGAAAAGCCUUUUCUUCUGAUUCUUAUUUAUAUUUUGAACACCAAAGAGCUCUAAGUCAUAAACCAGGGCCGCAUGUGGAGGUUAUGAUUCAAAUGUAAGAGACAACACAUGUAUUGACAGCUGAAGGAGCACAAGGAAACAAUGAGGCAAUGUUGGUCAGUAUGAGAGAAAGCAUCUCAGUGCAUUAUUAGCUUAAACAUUUUCUCAUGUUUUUUUGUAAGCAUCACAGCAAGAGAGUUUUAAUGAGGGAUUUGAAGGAAGAUGAUGAGGUUGUGUGGCAGAUGCUUGGAAAAAAUCACAGAGGAGCUUGUUUAAAAAUAUCUGACAAAUAGGUAGUGGAAGCCAACAUUAUGGCUUAACUGGAGACAGAGCUCAUUGGAGAUGAUAGGUGGGAUGAUAAUGAGGAAGAAUUUGAAGAUGAAGGCAAAUAGCUUAUAUCUGAUUAUUUAGAAAAUAAUAAACAGGCAUUGGUCAAAAAGGCUGGCACUUUUGUUCCAUUUAGAUUCUGUGUGAGGGGAUUAGAGUUAAACAGAUGAACAGAUGUUAUGAUGGAUAGAGAUUUGAAGUGGAUUAUGACAGUGUGGAAAAGACUUUUGUGGGUGAACAUCAGUGGGCACUCAUUAAAGGUGCUAUGCAGAAAUAACCAAAAAAACUAGGCUGAAGUAUAUUGCAUUGGACAUUGACUUGUUUACAGAGCAGAUGAUAUGAUCUAACUUUCUAGAGGAGCAUGUGAUAAGUUUUAUAUUUAAAAGGGAAGAACUGUCUGGUGUUGAAAGAAAGUUGUGUCAGUGUGUAGAUUGUUCCUCUUUUCUAGUAGGGAAAGCUAAAAAUCUUUUGUCUGAAUGAGGGCAAUAAACAACAUUAAAAAAUAAAUACAUGCAAGAAUACAGUAUGAGCAGCCAUAGCAAUAGAAACUUCUGUUUAGUUUUCUUGGAGAUAUACUUAUGCCAUCCCCUUACAUUUUUUCAAAAGCUUCAGGUCUGGUUACUUUGAUUUUUAAAAUAAUCCUCACAAUUAGAAGUUCAGUUUCAAGAGUGAUUAUAUUAAAAUGCUUGCAGAAAAAAUGGUUAGGUUCCAUGAAAAUGAGGGGUUUAAUACAGAUGAUCGAAGCAAUUAGUUCAUGUCACAGUUGAGACCAGGUAGUUAAUGGGAGAUUUUAAAAAAACUAGUGCACACAAUGGAUUUCUAUUUUAGCUUUUAUAGAACAGAAAGGCAAAUACAUAUUCUUUGUGGGAAGUCUAAUCCUAUAGAAAAGUCAACAUGAGAAAAGACAUGCUGAGCUGCUUUAUGAAGGAAUUUUAAAGUACUUUGUAUGGGAAGUCCAUAAAGGUAGAUGGAGUAAGAAGCUAACAUAAUUAAUGGACAGAACUUUUAAACAUUAAAUAAAUGAUUUGCCUUAACAUUCACAAGUGAAUGGGUGACAGAUGCUGGAAAUGGCUGUAAAUUUCCUCAGAGAGGAAGAAGAAAUACUGAGGGAAAUCAAGACCAUACCUGAACAGAUGAUCAGGAUGUUAGAAUGUCUAAAGAUUAGCAAAACUUCAGGGGCAGAUGGAGUCUGUCCCAGAGAUAAGAAACCCAAGAACCUAUGCAAGUAGAGGCAAUAUCAUAUUAUAAUAGAAAAUACUGGUAGACUUAGAAGUGGUGAGUAGAAAUUGAGAGACAGGAAACGAAUGAUAUUUAGGGAUCACUUCUGCUCUUGAGGACAGUGACAGCUAAAUAUUUAUUUUCAGAAUGACAUUUGUUUGCAGGCAGAACUCAGAAAGGGAAAACAUUUAAUUGUUUGCAGUAGUGGUCUCUGAUUAAAAGUGAACUAGGGAGAGGGAGAAAUGCAUGUAAGUGCUGAUGAUUUUAAGAUUUGUCUAUAACACAUUCUAAAAGACUGGCCAGAUUUUUAAGAGCUUUUCUAGCAGCCAGCAUCUAUUUGCAUGUAUAUAUGUUCCUGGGACUUCCUUUUCAGAGCUGGUGACUCGUUGAAAUGUUCUGAGGGUUCAGCAGUACCAGGAAGGCUCUGCUCAUAUCAGAUCCACAGUAGUGGUACGGAUCUGGUGCCAGACUGGGUUAAAUAUUGGUCAGAGGCAGCUGCAGCAGCCACUGAGACCUUCAUCUUAUUUGGAUUAAGGGAAGGUGAUUAUCUUCAGGACAUGAAAGAGCUCUGGAGUUAUCAGGUAAUAAGAAAUACAAAUGAAAGCAAAUUACUUCAGCCAUUUUGUGAGGAUCAGCGUAGUUCUAAUUUUCACUUACUAGAGUGACACAAACAGGGAACAUAAGUGAGUAAAACAGCAAAAAGUAGAAUUUGUGUAGAAUUUGGCAUUUUCAUACAAGUAAAUAAAGUAAUUCACACUAACUUGGGAGAGCGGCGGAAGCAAGUUCAGCAAACUUGUUUAUAUAUACUGGUGAAAAAAUGUAAGAGAAGUGUAGGAGGAACAAGAAAAAGCAAAUACCCCAAAGUCACAUGCAAAUUAACAUUAAUCAGGAGGAUGAUCUAAAUGAAAGAAUUAUAAGCAUAUAACUAACUUUUACAUAAUUACUUAUGUAAUAACAACAAAAACCCAAAGGAACAUUAAAAUUCAAUAAAUACUGCAUUGAAUAGAAAUUACUUAGCCUGCGCUAAAAAUCACAAAAUCUGUGAUACCAAAAUUUCUAUUGUCUGUGUAAUUUUUAAUCUUCUAGUUAUAUCUUGAUAUACCGAGGAAGUCCAUAUAAAAAUAUAUGGGCUAAUAAUUCUGGAAAGGAAAGCAUAAAGAUCUGUGUUUAUUUUAGCCACAGCACUUAUUUCUAAAAUGAAAAUAAAAAUGUAUAUGUCACCAGUUAUGGCAACAAUCAGUCAUAAAACUUAGUGAUAAACAAAAUGCCAUUAAUUCCAUAUUUAAUUUGCCACUGACCUGCUCUAUUUAAAUAUAAAGCUGGUUGUUAUAAUCUAGCAACUGUGGUAUGGCUAUGAGUACAUCCCCUGAGUUUUUCUUGUCUAGUGAAAAUGUCAAGAUUAUAUUUUUUUCUCUCUGUUUUUCCAGUACAAUACCUCUUAGAAGAUCCACAGUUCUUAAUAGUGCUGAUUGAUGACUAAGACCAGAGUCUAUCAAAGUUAAUUGAAAGAUUUCAUUAUCCUUUUGAUCAAUUCCUCUGUCCUCUGAAAUUUUGGACUUGUGGCUUUUCCUUCAGUAAGAAAUUAUUUUUAUUGUUUCCUCUUUAUAGAAUAAGGGAGAUAGACUUUUAAUCAGACCUCACCAGCAAAGAAUUUGUUCCUCAGGAUAGAGAAACCCAGUUUUCAGAGUCAAAGAUUUUGAGAAGUCUAGGGGUAGAUGAGGAAAAAUCUUGCUCGAGACCUCAGAGAAUUCAUGAGAGAGCAAGCUCAGAGAUCUUAAUAUUAUGUUUCAUGGUUCUGGAGUUUGAAGGUCUAAACUGGGAGGUGAGAGACUUUACCAAGGAGGAUGGAUCGUAUAUCACAAACCCCAAAAUCUACAGACUCACUGGGAGCCAUGAGGGAGAUUACUUUGUAUUGUUGUUCAGUAAUGAAUAGCAGGCUGCAAAUACUGAGGUGGGUUGGAGGUGAGAGUGCAGAAAGUCUCCCCUUUCACGAAGAAGCACAUUCUACCUAGAGAAAAUGAUGGCAAAAGUCUGGUAUACUAUUAUUCCUUAGUGCUUCUGUUGUAAAUAGUUGCAAUACCUUCCUAGACUAAGCAGAUUCUUUUUGCCAUCCCAUUGUCAUUGCAGGCAUCAACUGAUCACCAAUGCCAGAUCUGCAGCCUUUAAAUCUUCCAAGUCAGACCUGCUUAGUUUGCUGACAAAAAGAAAUUUCCCAAUUCAGUACUGUGGAGUCAAUAAAAAUGUAGCUGUGGCAGAGCAAGGUGCAUUCUCUGCUCCCUGAUGUACCAUAAUCAUCAAAUUGUAAGCUAAGAUACAGUUCCAGAAAUAACGUUGCUCCUAAUAGUUGAUGUAUGAAGCGGAAAGAACAUAGUUAAUUUGCAGAGGUGAAUUUGAGCUUUCAUGUCCAUCAGACAGGAAAAUCUGGUUUUGACUGCAGACUGAGAACAUUUAAAAUGGAAACUUCUGAUGGAAAUAUAUAUGGAAUGCAAAGAAGUGUUUAUACGGUCAAUUUUCUAUCCAGAUGAACCUUCUUAUUUCUUCCUGUCAGUUUUACUGGGACUUUGUAUUCAUUUCCUUGCAGUUUUUCCUUGCAUAUUUUUCUGACUGUAAAUUUUUUCAUGGUUUCUUGUCUUUACAGAUGUCUUCUCUGUCUCGCUCUGUGAGAAAGAGCGCCUUUUUAAUGACUUAAUAUAGGGGUUAAAAUCCAAAAGACAAAAAUAUGUAACUUUCAUUGCAGUAUUAAAUUUCUAAUUGUUAUUCUAGUCAGUGUUACUGUAGAGGUCUUUCCCAUAGAAACAGUGACUCGGGACAACCUCUAAACAUUAAAUUUAGUCUUUAAGAUAUUUUCAGGGACUGCACCUUAAGCUGCAUCCCUCCACGCCAGGUAGUGUCAUUUUUGGAUGUAGGAAACUUAUUGCAGUGGAAUUUAAAAUGUAAUCUUGAGUAUUAUUUAAUAAAAAAAAUCCAUGCUUAUGCUUUUUUUCCUGUGAUAACUUUUUGCUGUUGUUUAUUCACAAGUGGUCUUUAUAUGCCUUGAAUUUACAUUGUGGUAAGGAUAGGUGUGUUGGCUCUAACUGUGAAAGAGCUGACAUACAGUACCUGAAUCUUUUGUGAUUACUUGCUCAGGCAUCAGUGUCAUCACAACUAGCUGGGAGUGCAACUUCCUAUGGCCAUAUUUUUUCCAUUUUAGAUGUCUGCACCAAGAUGUGCCACAGUAUCUUUGGCUGGUUCUUCAUUCUUAGCAGAUGGCAGGAUGGAGCCAUGCAUAAUUGGCUUGAAUACCUUGAUACCAGUGUAUAUUUUUUCAGAAAAGGCUAUUCUUGGAGGUUAUAGAGGGUUUUUUAGAAUGUUGUCCAGCAGCUGCAGAUGGAGUAGGCUGAGAAUUUCUGGACAAAGCUCUUUUUGUGAAGACUGAAGGUGCUGACAGGAAAUAGCUUGGUGAAUUUGAGUUUUAAGUCUUCUUAAACAUAUUUGUUUGGUUCAGAAGGAGCUUCUUUACUGCCAAGAAAUGAAAGAGGAAAACUUCUGGGUGCAGAGCAGGUGAGGUGGUAGUAUGCCCAUCUCCAUUUACACAGUUGGUUAUUUUUUGUUCUUCCAGUACAAAUCUACUUAAAUGUUGGCCAUAAACCUUGGCUGCAUUUUAAUAUUGGCUGUGUACUUGUGAUCUUUCUCUACUGAUGCUUAAAAAGGGCAUUGACUCUUCCUAUUAUUUGAUUUCUGUCUGGAGCUAUAAAAUUAAUCUCCCAGUGUCAUGCUGCAAUGAGCUGUGUCAGUGGAAGAGAGAUAAGUUUCAUUUCUUUUGCCUUAAAACUUCUUCCAAAGUUACAAAGAGUUGAGCACAUUUACUUUCUCUUUUCAAUUUUAACAAAGCCCUUGUCUUUUUUCUGCAUUUCUAUUUUAUCCAUGUCAUUUUGAUUCUUUUGUUUUAUACUUCACAUUUUUCCAGACUCUUUUUUCCCCCUUCAAGCCUAGUUUAUAGUCUCUGACAGGAUUCUUUCUAUGCUAUCUGCCAAAACAUCUGUUCCUUUUCUGAAUAAAAAGCUUGCUUCUCCAGAAUGUGUCACACGGGUCCACACCAAGUAUAAACCUUAAUUCCUCUCUGCAACUCUGCCAGUGAUGGAGUAGCACUGGGAAGCUUUGCAUUCUUGUCUGUCCUGUCUCAUUUUUCAUUACACCAAAUUCAGUAGUGUAGUGGGGCAAAAAAAUAAUUGUAUUUAAAUGUACACAUUUCCUUUCAAAAUAUGCUAGUGCUUAUAUGUACUUUCUAUUUUUAAUCUUGCAAUUACUUUCUGAAUUUUUAAUCGAAGCAAAUACUUAUUAACUUCAAAUUGAUUCUACUUAAAAAAAAAAAAAAACAAGUUAUAUUGCCGGUUCUUUUCUGCCAGAACCACAUUUGAAUUACUACUCUCACUGAAAAUCCAACACAACUGUCCUUGAUUCUUCUUGGAUUCAUUUUGGCAAUUUUACAGUUUUGCAGUCAAAACAAAAUCAAAAAAAAAUUUGGGUUGCCAUGAUAAAAUUAUGUAACUUUCAGUACUUUGGUAAGUCUGAUGCAGUUGACCAACUUGCUUCUAUUGUAAAGUUCUUAGACAUAUUUAGAAAAAAUUCAGUAUUUCAAAAGAAUAUUAUUUUUGUAUUGUAUUCCCACAGGUAAUAAGAUUAAUGUAACAUUUUAUAAUUGGUCAAUACUAGUAUUGAAUAAUUUAAAUAUUUUAUCAGUAUGGAUAAAAUAUUUAUUGUUCUCUAUGUUGUGAAGUAAAGGAAAAAAGUGGAUUCUGUAUGUAUUUGUUUGUGUUAUUAUUUGCUCUUGAUUUAUUGCUGAGAUCAUUGACCUUGGACUAUAACAAUAUUAAGAAGAUGAAUACUAAGUUUGUGGUGAAUAAUUUUAAGUUCCUGAAACUUUUGAGCUUUAGUGUGGUAAAUAACAUGAGAUUAAAAUUGAUAGAAACUUCCCUCUGGACCGCAUCUGAUUCACUAAUUCAGCCCCCUGAAGUUUUAAUUAAUUUUAACAGAAAUUAAUGACUACUUUUUUGCCUUUUUUUUUGUCUUUGCCAGAAAUGUCUUCAUUCUUUUGAGGAAAAAAAAAGUGUAUUUCCAUUGUAAUAUUUGUAGUAGUUACUUAGGGGUUUCCAGUGUCAAUCUGGUAUGGGGAUGGGGAAACAUAUUCUGUUUCGUUGUUCCCUCUCUCUGCCAGACACAAAGAGGGCUUCUCCAGGUGGCAGAGAUUUGAUAAAUGCUGGGAAGCUGUGUAAAGAGAAUUGCUAAGGAAAUUGAAUUCAACCCUUCUCCAUGGCUUGAUCCCCCCUAGAACAGGUGGCCUGGCACGCUGGCCACAAGUUCCUGUUGACUGCCUCCAUCCAAUACCUCAGUACCCUUAUGCUGGGAUUUGUUUGUGGAAGCUGGCGAGCUGCCUUCCUGGAGGAGCUGCAGCCGCAGAAAGAAGGCUGGGAAUGGUUCAAAAGUCCUGAGUCUUUCAUGGCUCUUGUGUUUUGCUGAUCCUUUGAAAUGCUUAAGAAAUUUGAUGUGUGAUUUUCUAAAUGAAAGUUUAUAAAUUCUUAGUCAAAGAAAUAUUUUCAACACAACACACAUUCUCAGCCAGCUUUCUGUGAGCACUUGCAUGUGUCUCUUGCCAAGAUCUUAGGGCAGAGGGAGUUUUUUAAUUUUUGGCUUAUACUGACAAAAAUAUUUAUUUAAAAUAAUUUUUGUUAGCUGUGUAGGCCUGUCUUUGUAUGACAAGACAGCAGAAAAUGGGAAGCGUUCUCAAUCCUGAAAAAUGUCAAUUAGUCAUUUAAUAAGUUGCUAUUGACUGGGCUAUUCAGUAACUGUGUGGAACAGAUUAGAACUUCUGUUUAUGACAGUGUAGUUCAGUAGUAACUCCAGUGAUGUGCAGUCAAUGAUUCUAUUUUUAUACUAGAAAACCAGCAUUCUCUUUUUGUCCCUUGAGGUGCAACCCAAGUGGCUGGAAGCCCAUCACACUGAGAGGUACCUUUAAUGUGUUCCUCUGUGAAGCCUGAACUCAGUUUUCAUGGGAAAUUACUCUCUCCAGUGAACAACUACAGUGAUUUGUAUUUACUUUAGAAGACCUACGUUUUUCAGUGGAUAAAAAUGAAGAGAACAGGGCUCUGACAUUACAAAAAACUCAGUAUAGACCUCUAUACAGACCUCUGUUUCCUGAACCAGUAAGCACAGAGCUGCAUGGUGCUCCAGGCCGAUCCAUAUUUCUUUGACAUCUUUGCACUUCGGGAACAUUGCAACAUGUUUGUGUAUGUCAUCGCCAGGAAAACAAUGUUCAGCACUUGGCUUGCCUAGUAGAGCUGGUGCCCACAUGCUGCUUACCACUGAGCAUACCCCUGUAAGAAUUAGCAGACCUUGACAAAACUAUCAAGCAAAUCUCAAUAAAAAUUAAUUGAAUACACUUGCAAUAGAAUAGCUGCUUAAUGCUUCCCUUUCUUACUAGAACAAUUAUAAAGAAGUAUACCUCUUUCCUCAGAAACUAAUUUUAAUACAAGUUGAUAUCCACUAACCAAAAAAAAAAGAAUGAUCAAUGCCUAUCAAACAAACACAGUUCAAAAUGCAGUAUCUGGUUAAAAUUCAGAGAAGAAAACCUUCUCUGGCAUCACAAAAGACUUCUGAGAAGUUAGUAUGUGUAUGCAGCAAGGGCAUAAGGUGAAGAUGAAGGCAUAAAAGCUAGCAGGAAUAUGCCAAACAUUGAAACAGCUUCUUCUAGGUUUUUAAAAUGCAUUUCCUGAAGUAUUCAGCUGUUUGUAAUCAAUGAGUAAUUCAUGGUGAAGAACAGGGAAUUUUAAUGAAAGGAAUUUGUAUUUUUGCAAUAAAAUUUCUUGUACUUGUGGGAGCCCCUUUUUCCCCCCACAAGCUUCUCAUGUAGAUAUAAAAUUCCUUUGUGUGGCAAUGCGCACUCUGUCAACAUCAGUGGGAGUAAAAUUUCCUCAAAUGAAUCUUUGUUCAAAUUCAGAUUUCUAGGAAGCCCCCAUGAAUAUCUAUGUGGAAAGUGACUCAGCUGUAUCAACAUUCUAGUGCUUUUCUCUGGAAAAAAUAUAGCAUCAGACACAGGAGUAACAAACAAUUAGGGUAGAUUUAAUUUUAUUUAAAUUUUGCAUUGACAGUGGAUGAUUGGAAACAUCAUGUAGAAAAUGAACAAUAUUAAUAGAGUAUGUUAAUAGUGCACAGUGGACUUGUCCAUUAUAUAGUACCAAGAUAUUUCAAGUUAUAAUAUUUUUUACUUUCUUCAGAAGAUAUGGCUUCUCAUAUGAUAAUGGAUAUUUUCUUCAGUGUGUACACGAAAAGCAAACUAUAGUGUAAAUUUUGAUUAAAAUGUUGCUCUGUGGCCUUUCACAUUAAAUCUAAUUUUAUUUAAUAUUACUUUCUACAUGUAUGCAGAAAAUGGCAAGCUAAUAUUAAUAAAAGAAGGCUUACAGGAAUGUGGAAAAAGAACAAUAGAUCCCUGUCAAAAUUUAUUUACCUAGCUAGACUUUCAUUUCAAAGUUAGCAGACUCUGUGAUACUGGCAUAAUACAGGGAUCUUAAAACUCUGUUAGACAUUUUUAACCCACUUUAAUUUAUUCCAUGGUAGUUUAAUCCCCUGCUGAACGGGGAUAGGGUGAAUUUUCAAAAGUCAUAAUCCACUGAAGUAAAAAAUCUGUAAUGACAACACAGACAGCAGGCUUCAAGAAUUUAGUUUAAAUUAUUUCCAAAAAUGUUAAACUUAGGGCAAGAGUUAAUAGGAUAUUUCAUACAGUUAUAUUUCAAUCAUUUUCCAAAUCUUUAUACAUUCACUUGCAUCUCUGCCAUCAGAAAUACUUGGGCUCGAUUUCUGUUCUUUUAAGACAAACCCCAGAAAGCUGUAAAAUUCGAAUGCGAAGAUUUUCACAGGGUAUUGUAACUCAUUUGGUCCUUCAGUUCACAGAAUUUUAUAUGCAAUAGCAUAAUAUUUUCUAAAUUGAAAGAGAAAUGACAUUUUACAAACUGAACACCUUCCAUUCUGGCUUAAUUGGGCACAAAAAUUAAAUUAAGAUACUUUAUACCACCCUGUCUUCAUCCUUCUGCUACUCUAGGAUUUUAAUGAUUGACUUUAUUGGUGGGUGAACAUUCAGCCCACAAAUUGAUUGGGAAAAGUUCAUGCAUUUCCUAUGUACUUGAAACCUACAGUUUUACACUUUUCCUUGACUAUACCUUUGGAGCUGCCUAGUUCUCAAGGUAGCUGUAACUCAGACAACAUCAUAUUUUCUUUAACAAGGAAGAUCCUCUAGUGCCAGCCAUAGAUGUUUACAGCUUUUCCUGGCCUCAGCAGCCAGGCACCAAACUUCUGCCUGAACCCCAUGGGAAAAAUGCUGCCUCCUUCCUAGGUUUUGUUGCGUUAUGUUGGAUCAGAUUUUGGGUGGCAUCAGAUAAAUCAGAUUUGGGAAGCUGGUGACUUGUUCAAAACAACAGGAUGAGAAAGUUCUGAGAGUCUGAAGUAGAGAUGAGGUGGCAGGGUGUUUCACAUGGUAGAAGAUUCAUCCAGAAACAAACAAGUACUUGUAAGCAAUACUUAUGGAAAAUGAAUAAAUUCAUAGCCACACCCCCAACUUAAGGAGUCUUUGAUCUGCAAAGGUUUGAAAAUGAAAAAUAUUUUCUGGUACAAAUAGUAUAUUUCUCCCCUCAUUUUGCAUUCCUUGACAAAAUCAACAUUUAGCUAUUGUUGAAAGCACGGUCCAAGGCCAGAUAGACUUCCAUUUUGACUUGCUAAUUCUUUUGAACUCUUAAAUGAAAUAGAAAAUUGCAAUAAUUUCAUUUAAUUUUCCUUUAAAAGCUACAUGUUUGGAGAGAAAACAAAGAGUUUUCUUCUUUGAAAAACAACAGUGACAGCAGUGCCUGUCUUUGCUCCUGCUUUCCAGGAAAAGGGUGGAACAAAUUGUAGGGCUGGCUUUUCAUCGCUUCCUGAUGUGGUUCUGUAAUUUUGGUUCUUGCUUCAAAGGUUCCAGUUUUAUCCAGGCAGCUAGAGGAGCCUGGAUGUUUAAUUCUGGGUCUGAUUUCCACUCUGAAAGUUUGUGAAAGACUAGAGAAAAUCUUUCUAUGUAUCUAACUGUCACAGGAGAGAAGGCAGCACUGGCAGAAUGAAGCAGAGAAAAAAAAGGAGGAAGAGAAAAGUAUCCAUUAAGGCACUGCUACUAGAAGAAAUGUCUCUGUAAUUACAAAGUCUGAUUGAUUUAAAGUACCUAUCUGUCUUAGAUGACUAAACACUUCUUAAAAGCCUACUUACUAAACAAUUCUUUUAGUCACUCGUGAACGAAACAGGAUCAAGAAGUCUAAUUUUUCAGAUUCUAAAUACUUGUGAAAUUUUUCCAUGUGAUUAAAUCAAACUCAAAA